This 66-nucleotide transfer RNA is filed under the name Neomaskellia andropogonis. Its description in RNAcentral is "tRNA-Asp". Lineage: Eukaryota; Metazoa; Arthropoda; Insecta; Hemiptera; Aleyrodidae. The record is from RNAcentral.
AGAUUCUUAGUUUAUGUAUUAUAAAACAUUAAUUUGUCAAAUUAAAAAAAUUUAUUUUAGAUUCUG